AACCCAUCCAGAGCGGUCGAGAGUCCUGGCUCGUCGACACCGCAGCAACCUGCCCGACGGAAGCCUCCCGAGGGGUACAGGUGCUAACGCCAGGUCCGAUGGAGA
This 105-nucleotide non-coding RNA is filed under the name Paraoerskovia marina. RNAcentral's name for it is "SAM-I sequence". It matches the Rfam family "SAM riboswitch aptamer (S box leader)". Rfam says of the family: The SAM riboswitch is found upstream of a number of genes which code for proteins involved in methionine or cysteine biosynthesis in Gram-positive bacteria. The SAM riboswitch acts at the level of transcription termination control. The record is from Rfam by way of RNAcentral. Lineage: Bacteria; Bacillati; Actinomycetota; Actinomycetes; Micrococcales; Cellulomonadaceae.